Bos indicus x Bos taurus (hybrid cattle) is the source of this 336-nucleotide long non-coding RNA. The record is from Ensembl. Lineage: Eukaryota; Metazoa; Chordata; Mammalia; Artiodactyla; Bovidae.
UAAAAAGAAGAUCAAGAUUUGUCUGAUCAACACAGGAAGGCGACUUUGAGGAAGGAGAAGCUGGUAGUGUUAAAUCACAAACUCACAAUCCUUUGAGCAUGGAGAUAUCGCAUAGGCAACGAUACACCAAACUCCCCACCCAAGUACCUUCUUUGUCACCUAACCAGGGAUUAUCACAAAGGCCAGUCCUGAAAUACACAGGUGUUUUGAAAGCAAUGAAAUUACUCAGUCCAAAUGAAUAGCUACACCAUGCUGACAUUGCUCCUCUGGGGUAAGGAGUUGACUCUUGUUCCAUUUGUUCCCCAUAAACAGAGCAAAUGUAUUUCUAGGUUUAUU